Plutella xylostella (diamondback moth) is the source of this 209-nucleotide non-coding RNA. The record is from RefSeq and is a predicted model, not a curated record. NCBI's taxonomy places the organism in Eukaryota, Metazoa, Arthropoda, Insecta, Lepidoptera, Plutellidae.
CUGAAGGAUAUCAAUAUGAAACUGUUCGUGUUUGUUUUGUCUGUAUUCACCGUCCUGGCAGUAGUGCUUGGACAGGAUCUGACCACUGUGGGGACUAAGCAGGAUCUGACCACUGUGGGGACUAAGCAGGAUCUGACCACUGAAGGGACUAAGCAGGAUCUGACCACUGAAGGGACUAAGCAGGGUUGGACCACUCAGGGAUUCCGCGG